AAACUAUUAAUUAUCUUGUUUUGAAAACAGGGUUUAAGAUAUGAUCUUGUAGUUUUA
Molecule: transfer RNA, 57 nt
Filed under: Hypodontus macropi
Lineage: Eukaryota; Metazoa; Nematoda; Chromadorea; Rhabditida; Strongylidae
Description: tRNA-Ser
Source: RNAcentral